This is a long non-coding RNA of Ictalurus furcatus (blue catfish), 1264 nucleotides long. RefSeq lists it as uncharacterized. Lineage: Eukaryota; Metazoa; Chordata; Actinopteri; Siluriformes; Ictaluridae. The transcript is spliced from 3 exons. The record is from RefSeq and is a predicted model, not a curated record.
UAAAACACAAUAAACUGCAUUCAGUUGGAAAGUGAGAUGGUGUGAUGCAGUUUAUUUGAGAUGAUAUGAUGAUAAUUCUUGAUUGAUAAUAAACGUAACCAUAUCUGUUAGAUAUUCUGUGCUGUUGCUAAGCAAAUUAUCUUCUCAAAUCACUUUACAUUAAAGUUCUUUAGAAAGUGGGAACAGUUCCAGGCUGUUUUCUUUCAGUUGUUGUAAAUGGCUUUUGUCUUGUUCCAAACCAAGCUAAAACCCAGUGAGUGAGUGAUUCAAACUAAUGUUUGGAUUUCCAGACUGUAAUUAUACAGAUUAAGUAAGGCCACUGACGAGAACCAGAUGUCAGCGGAUAUUGCUCAAAGCUUGCGGAGUAUCACUCAUUCAUCAUUCUGGAUGACUGUAUUGGUGACUGAACCCACCCUGAUCUUACAGCUGAUGAGUAUAUAAACUGUAGGAACCCAGAAGCAGAGAUACUGGAAUAAGUGGACCGAGCACUGAAGCAAGGAUGUGGACGUUGAGAACAGCACUGCUGGUGUCCCUCUUAGCAUUUGUUUUUUCCAAACCAUUUUAUCCAUGGAAUGGAAAUAGACGUCUGGCAAUAAACAGGGCAUUUCAGGACUCUGACUCCGUGGAAUCAAACGAAUCAAGCAACAGCUCAGACUCGGAUGAUUCAAAUUCAUCUUCUGAAUCUGAUACGUCUAAAUCCAGUGAAUCUAGUGGUUUGGAUACUAGCCACUCUGAAUCCAAUGAGUCUGCAUUGUCGGAAGAGAAUUUUCUCACCACUGCUGAACCAGAGAUCACGAGCAGUAUAACUGUACUACCACCAUUGCCCACACAAGGACACGUCACCUGUUUUACUCUACACCUGGAAACUGAGCCUAGAGGAGACAACUUUUAGUUGCUGUACCUUAAAGCUUAACAUAGUCAAGUGAAUAUUUCGUUUUUACCAUUUAGUGAUUUGCUGGUCCUAUCAGGCAGUUUAAAUUUCUAAAAGAAAUGUUCCUGAAUGUCCUAUAAAUGCAUAUAUGAGACACUUUUGAUUUUAUUUCAUUUUAUUUAGAUUUUUCUUUGGUUCAUUGCACCUUACUGACUUUUAUAUACUGAUUUUACAUAGCAGUAUUAUACCAAAGGUAAUAUAUAUUCUGAGUAUUCUACACUACGCAUGAGUGGUAGAAUCAAAUAUUUACAGUGCACCUUUGAUCUGUUAUGUUACAUUAAAUAAAAUUGUGAAACCAUUUACCAUUAGUGACGAGAGUCAAAUGUUCUGUUC